This 369-nucleotide unclassified non-coding RNA is filed under the name uncultured Chaetomiaceae. Its description in RNAcentral is "sequence contains ITS2". The stretch from base 1 to 154 matches the Rfam family "5.8S ribosomal RNA". Lineage: Eukaryota; Fungi; Ascomycota; Sordariomycetes; Sordariales. The record is from RNAcentral.
AACCUUUGGCAACGGAUCACUUGGUUCUGGCAUCGAUGAAGAACGCAGCGAAAUGCGAUAAGUAAUGUGAAUUGCAGAAUUCAGUGAAUCAUCGAAUCUUUGAACGCACAUUGCGCCCGCCAGUAUUCUGGCGGGCAUGCCUGUUCGAGCGUCAUUUCAACCAUCAAGCCCCCCGGCUUGUGUUGGGGACCUGCGGCUGCCGCAGGCCCUGAAAACCAGUGGCGGGCUCGCUGUCACCCCGAGCGUAGUAAUACAUCUCGCUCUGGGAGUGCUGCGGGUUCCGGCCGUUAAAAGCCUUAUUUACCCAAGGUUGACCUCGGAUCAGGUAGGAAGACCCGCUGAACUUAAGCAUAUCAAUAAGCGGAGGCU